Molecule: ribosomal RNA, 463 nt
Filed under: uncultured bacterium
Lineage: Bacteria
Description: partial 16S ribosomal RNA
Rfam family: Bacterial small subunit ribosomal RNA
Source: RNAcentral
GACGAACGCUGGCGGCGUGCUUAACACAUGCAAGUCGAACGGAAAGGCCUUUUCGGAGGUACUCGAGUGGCGAACGGGUGAGUAACACGUGGGUGAUCUGCCCUGCACUCUGGGAUAAGCCUGGGAAACUGGGUCUAAUACCGGAUAGGACCGCACUUUAGUGUGUGUGGUGGAAAGUUUUUUCGGUGUAGGAUGAGCCCGCGGCCUAUCAGCUUGUUGGUGGGGUAAUGGCCUACCAAGGCGGAGACGGGUAGCCGGACUGAGAGGUUGGUCGGCCACAUUGAGACUGAGAUACGGCCCAGACUCCUACGGGAGGCAGCGGUGGGGAAUAUUGCACAAUGGGCGCAAGCCUGAUGCAGCGACGCCGCGUGGGGGAUGACGGCCUUCGGGUUGUAAACUCCUUUCGCCAGGGACGAAGCGUUUUGUGACGGUACCUGGAGAAGAAGCACCGGCUAACUACGUG